RNAcentral lists this ribosomal RNA (501 nucleotides) under uncultured bacterium. RNAcentral describes it as "partial 16S ribosomal RNA". It matches the Rfam family "Bacterial small subunit ribosomal RNA", at positions 28 to 523 of the family's 1533-position model. The record is from RNAcentral.
GAUGAACGCUAGCUACAGGCUUAACACAUGCAAGUCGAGGGGCAGCAGGGCGUAGCAAUACGCCGCUGGCGACCGGCGCACGGGUGAGUAACACGUAUCCAACCUGCCCUCAACUCAGGGAUAGCCUUUCGAAAGAAAGAUUAAUACCUGAUGGCAUGGCGGUCCCGCAUGAGACCUCCAUUAAAGAAAUUCGGUUGAGGAUGGGGAUGCGUUCCAUUAGCUUGUUGGCGGGGUAACGGCCCACCAAGGCUUCGAUGGAUAGGGGUUCUGAGAGGAAGGUCCCCCACAUUGGAACUGAGACACGGUCCAAACUCCUACGGGAGGCAGCAGUGAGGAAUAUUGGUCAAUGGACGAGAGUCUGAACCAGCCAAGUAGCGUGAAGGAUGACGGCCCUACGGGUUGUAAACUUCUUUUAUAUGGGAAUAAAGUGAGCCACGUGCGGCUUUUUGUAUGAACCAUACGAAUAAGGAUCGGCUAACUCCGUGCCAGCAGCCGCCGUAA